This 513-nucleotide ribosomal RNA is filed under the name uncultured bacterium. RNAcentral describes it as "partial 16S ribosomal RNA". It matches the Rfam family "Bacterial small subunit ribosomal RNA", at positions 28 to 523 of the family's 1533-position model. The record is from RNAcentral.
GACGAACGCUGGCGGCGUGCCUAAUACAUGCAAGUUGAGCGCUGAAGGUUGGUACUUGUACCGACUGGAUGAGCAGCGAACGGGUGAGUAACGCGUGGGGAAUCUGCCUUUGAGCGGGGGACAACAUUUGGAAACGAAUGCUAAUACCGCAUAAAAACUUUAAACACAAGUUUUAAGUUUGAAAGAUGCAAUUGCAUCACUCAAAGAUGAUCCCGCGUUGUAUUAGCUGGUUGGUGAGGUAAAGGCUCACCAAGGCGAUGAUACAUAGCCGACCUGGGAGGGUGAUCGGCCACAUUGGGACUGAGACACGGCCCAAACUCCUACGGGAGGCAGCAGUAGGGAAUCUUCGGCAAUGGACGAAAGUCUGACCGAGCAACGCCGCGUGAGUGAAGAAGGUUUUCGGAUCGUAAAACUCUGUUGGUAGAGAAGAACGUUGGUGAGAGUGGAAAGAUCAUCAAGUGACGGUAACUACCCAGAAAGGGACGGCUAACUACGUGCCAGCCGCCGCAGUAA